Long non-coding RNA from Anguilla rostrata (American eel), 816 nucleotides. RefSeq lists it as uncharacterized. The transcript has 3 exons. NCBI's taxonomy places the organism in Eukaryota, Metazoa, Chordata, Actinopteri, Anguilliformes, Anguillidae. The record is from RefSeq and is a predicted model, not a curated record.
AAAAGUUAAACCAAUGGAAACUUUGUUCAAUGUGCAAGGAAUAGUGAUUGGUUAAUAGAGGACUCGUAUUCUGAUUGGCUCUGUUAUGCCCAAUAGGAUAAGACUACAAUUGUUUGUAGGUCUAUUAUGCAAGCGUGGAACGAUAUUUUUACGGUCUCCCUUCUAAACUACAUGCACAGUGGCAUCUCACAUCUCGAAAUAAUGACUUCGAACACUGUGUGCACAUUCAGAGUUCUGCUGUUCAAAGAAAAUCAAUUUGUUGGAGAAAAUGCUUGUUAUCAGAGUUGGAGCUGGCUUUUACUUCAGUGGGCUGAAGAUCAAUUCCCUUAUCAUCAAAGUGUCAAAGUUUUUGCAAAAACCUUACGGCAGACGUUACACCAACAAUCUGGGGGUCCACCUUUUAAAUGUUUGCACACACCCAAGAGGAUUCAGGUAAUGGCAUUCACCUGGAAACCAACUAGACCAUUCCACUAACUGUUUACAGGUAUGUGGUACAAAAUUUUAAGAUAAAUACUUAAAACUAAUACAGUCUAGCAUGUUAAAUAAAUAACAUGCAAAUCCACAAUUAUUCAUAAAUGCCCUAUUACUAAACAUUAAUAUCACUUUAUGAGACAAUUAAAAUACUAAUACACUAACGCAUGACUGGAAUCAGCAUAAAAUAUGAUAAUGAAAUAUGUACGUUACAAAUACAAACUUAUUUCUUUCAUUGGCUGUCAAUACCCUGAACACAAUAGAUUGCCAAGGCAGUAACUUGUUUAUUACUUUAUAUCUUGAAAAUGUGAACUUUCAUCAUUACAUGAUAACUAUAGCUGUUCA